GAUGAACGCUGGCGGCGUGCCUAAUACAUGCAAGUAGAACGCUGAAGGAGGAGCUUGCUCUUUCCGGAUGAGUUGCGAACGGGUGAGUAACGCGUAGGUAACCUGCUUGGUAGCGGGGGAUAACUAUUGGAAACGAUAGCUAAUACCGCAUAACAGUAGAUAUUGCAUGAUAUUUGCUUGAAAGGGGCAAUUGCUCCACUACCAGAUGGACCUGCGUUGUAUUAGCUAGUUGGUGAGGUAACGGCUCACCAAGGCGACGAUACAUAGCCGACCUGAGAGGGGGAUCGGCCACACUGGGACGGAGACACGGCCCAGACUCCUACGGGAGGCAGCAGUAGGGAAUCUUCGGCAAUGGACGGAAGGCUGACCGAGCAACGCCGCGUGAGUGAAGAAGGUUUUCGGAUCGUAAAGCUCUGUUGUAAGAGAAGAACGAGUGUGAGAGUGGAAAGUUCACACUGUGACGGUAUCUUACCAGAAAGGGACGGCUAACUACGUG
Molecule: ribosomal RNA, 496 nt
Filed under: uncultured bacterium
Lineage: Bacteria
Description: partial 16S ribosomal RNA
Rfam family: Bacterial small subunit ribosomal RNA
Source: RNAcentral